UACGUAGGGGGCAAGCGUUAUCCGGAUUUACUGGGUGUACAGGGAGCGCAGACGGCAGUGCAAGUCUGGAGUGAAAGCCCGGGGCCCAACCCCGGAACUGCUCUGGAAACUGUGCGGCUAGAGUACUGGAGGGGCAGGCGGAAUUCCUAGUGUAGCGGUGAAAUGCGUAGAUAUUAGGAGGAACACCAGUGGCGAAGGCGGUCUGCUGGACAGCAACUGACGCUGAGGCGCGAAAGCGUGGGGAGCAAACAGG
RNAcentral lists this ribosomal RNA (253 nucleotides) under uncultured bacterium. RNAcentral's name for it is "partial 16S ribosomal RNA". It matches the Rfam family "Bacterial small subunit ribosomal RNA", at positions 524 to 776 of the family's 1533-position model. The record is from RNAcentral.